This 462-nucleotide ribosomal RNA is filed under the name uncultured bacterium. Its description in RNAcentral is "partial 16S ribosomal RNA". It matches the Rfam family "Bacterial small subunit ribosomal RNA", at positions 338 to 795 of the family's 1533-position model. The record is from RNAcentral.
CCUACGGGUGGGCAGCAGUGAGGAAUAUUGGUCAAUGGGCUUACGCCUGAACCAGCCAAGUCGCGUGAAGGAUGACGGCCCUACGGGUUGUAAACUUCUUUUGUCAGGGAGCAAUUGAGUCCACGUGUGGUCUUAGCGUGUGUAACUGAAGAAAAAGCAUCGGCUAACUCCGGGCCAGCAGCCGCGGUAAUACGGAGGAUUCAAGCGUUAUCCGGAUUUAUUGGGUUUAAAGGGUGCGUAGGCGGUCGGAUAAGUUAGAGGUGAAAUCCCGAGGCUCAACUUCGGAAUUGCAUCUGAUACUGUUCGGCUAGAGAGUAGUUGCGGUAGGCGGAAUGUAUGGUGUAGCGGUGAAAUGCUUAGAGAUCAUACAGAACACCGAUUGCGAAGGCAGCUUACCAAGCUACUUCUGACGUUGAGGCACGAAAGCGUGGGGAGCAAACAGGAUUAGAUACCCGUGUAGUC